RNAcentral lists this ribosomal RNA (413 nucleotides) under Escherichia coli. Its description in RNAcentral is "bacterial SSU rRNA". It matches the Rfam family "Bacterial small subunit ribosomal RNA", at positions 59 to 468 of the family's 1533-position model. The record is from RNAcentral. Lineage: Bacteria; Pseudomonadati; Pseudomonadota; Gammaproteobacteria; Enterobacterales; Enterobacteriaceae.
AAGUCGAACGGUAACAGGAAGNAGCUUGCUNCUUNGCUGACGAGUGGCGGACGGGUGAGUAAUGUCUGGGAAACUGCCUGAUGGAGGGGGAUAACUACUGGAAACGGUAGCUAAUACCGCAUAACGUCGCAAGACCAAAGAGGGGGACCUUCGGGCCUCUUGCCAUCGGAUGUGCCCAGAUGGGAUUAGCUAGUAGGUGGGGUAACGGCUCACCUAGGCGACGAUCCCUAGCUGGUCUGAGAGGAUGACCAGCCACACUGGAACUGAGACACGGUCCAGACUCCUACGGGAGGCAGCAGUGGGGAAUAUUGCACAAUGGGCGCAAGCCUGAUGCAGCCAUGCCGCGUGUAUGAAGAAGGCCUUCGGGUUGUAAAGUACUUUCAGCGGGGAGGAAGGGAGUAAAGUUAAUACCU